AUUAGAUGAUCUCAACUUCUCAACAAUAACUGAAUACUUCAUCAUCAAGCAAAUGAGCAAAAGGAAAAUAAGCUAUGAAUUAUUAUUAUUAUUAUUAUUAUUAUUGAAACAAUAAGCUGUGAAUUAUUUAUUUCUAUUUCUUGUUUUUUACCCUUUUUAGCAAAUAGUGGUUUAACCACCACCCAUGUCAUUGAUGUUAUAAAAUGGCUUCAAGUCUGCAG
Molecule: long non-coding RNA, 221 nt
Filed under: Elaeis guineensis (African oil palm)
Lineage: Eukaryota; Viridiplantae; Streptophyta; Magnoliopsida; Arecales; Arecaceae
Description: long non-coding RNA (EGUI_LNC019251)
Source: RNAcentral